This is a long non-coding RNA of Hippocampus zosterae (dwarf seahorse), 6368 nucleotides long. RefSeq lists it as uncharacterized. The record is from RefSeq and is a predicted model, not a curated record. The transcript has 2 exons. Lineage: Eukaryota; Metazoa; Chordata; Actinopteri; Syngnathiformes; Syngnathidae.
UCACCAGGCAUCCGAAUCAGAUGCCCAAGCCACCUCAUCUGGCUCCUCUCGAUGUGGAGGAGAAGCGGCUCGACUCUGAGCCCCUCCCGGAUGACCGAGCUCCUCACCUUAUCUCUAAGGGAGAGCCCGGACACCCUGCGGAGAAAACUCAUUUCGGCCGCUUGUAUCCGGGAUCUCGUUCUUUCGUUCACGACCCAUAGCUCGUGGCCAUAGAUGAGGGUUGGGACGUAGAUCGACCGGUAAAUUGAGAGCUUCGCCUUUUGGCUCAGCUCCUUCUUCACCACGACAGACCGAUACAACGUCCGCAUCACAGCAGACGCUGCACCGAUCCGCCUGUCGAUCUCUCGCUCCCUCCUGCCCUCACUCGUGAACAAGACCCCAAGAUACUUAAACUCCUCCACUUGGGGCAAGAUCUCCCCCCCGACCCGGAGGGGGCACUCCACCCUUUUCCGACUGAGGACCAUGGUUUCAGAUUUGGAGGUGCUGAUUUUCAUCCCAACCGCUUCACACUCGGCUGCGAAACGCUCCAGUGAGAUUUGUAGAGCCCCGUUUGAAGGAGCCAACAGCACCACAUCAUCUGCAAAAAGCAGGGAUGUAAUACUGAGGCCCCCAAAACGGACUCCCUCAACGCUUCGGCUGCGCCUAGAAAUUCUGUCCAUAAAGGUUAUGAACAGAAUCGGCGACAAAGGGCAGCCUUGGCGGAGUCCUACCCCCACUGGAAACGAUUCCGACUUACUGCCGGCAAUGCGAACCAAACUCUGACAUCGGUGGUAUAGUGACCGAACAGCCCGUAUCACAGAACUCCCCGAGGGACACGGUCAAACGCCUUCUCCAAGUCCACAAAACACAUGUAGACUGGUUGGGCGAAUUCCCACAUACCCUCAAGGACCCUGCUAAGGGUGUAGCUUUGGCUGCCGCCCAGCUCACAUCGCACCCGACCCCUUUGGCCCCUCUCAUGGGUGGUGAGCCCAUGGGAAGGGGGACCCACGUUGCCUCUUCGGGCUGUGCCCGGCCGGGCCCCAUGGGUGAAGGCUUUAUUCCCGACUGAAAUUGUACAGCAUUAAUAAAAUGAAAGACGGAGAUAUGUCACAUGGGACUAAUAAAUAGAAAAGUAUACAAAAAUAGACAACAGUAGUGGCUUGUGAGCACAUUCUGGCAUGUUGUAUGUGCCCCAACCAUGGGCAAAACAACAAAUCUCCCCUGCUUCACGGCUGUUCACACGACCCAUUGUGCGAUUACGUUCAAACUCCCAAAUGAUGAUAUUUUACUCUUAAUAUCAGCCGGGUGACAAUGCCGAUUGCAAAUACAUCAGGUCUGAAUCAGCACAGCUCAGUUAUGUUUUUAAACGUUGAAACCUCUUUCUGUGUACCGUCUUUCUUUGCAAAUAUCUCAUGUUACUUGUGUGUGUCCAAAAUGGUUUUUCCAUUAAAAAUGUAGUGGGUGCCGCUUAUGAUCAGGUGCACUCUAUAGUCCGGAAAUCACAGUACUCUUGGUCAAUUUGAAUUUGAAUUUGACUUUUAUUUGGUCUCCAGUCGGAGAAACUUGUCUCUGAGGAAAGGCCCUCUGUGCUGCUACAUGCAUUGGGCAAUACAUACCAAUACAACACACAACAACAUACAUUGGACAAUACAUACAGUACAGGACUAUAUAUAUACUGUAUUUUCGCGACUAUAAGGCACCAUUAAAAGUCUUAAAUUUUCUCCAUAAUGGACAGGACGCCUUAUAAUGCGGAGGCCGAGUUCCAAAGCCUGACUGAGAGCACUUCUGGCCGACACGCUGUUUAUACAGAGAAAAGGCAACAGGCAUGCGGAAGUCUGCCAAUGAGUGAAGGGUGGGCGUGUAAGAGGACGCUAAAGGCACGCCCCUAGCAGGUACCAGUUGCCCAUGAGUGAAGGGUGAGCGUGUAAGAGGACGCUAAAGGCACGCCCCUAGCAUGCCGUAUGUUGAAGAUGGCGUCUGUUUUACCAUGCCUGGCUGCGUCCAAUAAUACAGUGCAUUUUGUGUAUGUGUCAAAUACAGAAAUAGCACCCGUUACUGAGACUGCCCCCAACAAUACGGUGCGCCGAAUGGUCGUUAAAAUACGGUACUCUACACACAUUGGACAAUACAUUACAGGCAUAUGCACACCCCACACUGCCUUCAUGUCCUCAUUCUUGUCUGUCUGCCUCCCUCUAAUUGUUUGUUAAUUAAGCUGAUAGCCUGCCUCAAGUCUUUUUUUUUUACCUGAGUAACAGUAUUCUUACUUGAGUUUUGGCUACUUCGCCUACCUCUGUUCACAUGAACACUUUGAGACAGUAAUUCAGGCCUUUGUCACAUCCCGGCUCGAUUACUGCAAUGCCCUUUACUUUGGAGUCAGCCAGUCCUCCAUUAAGCGCCUUCAGCUGGUCCAGAAUACCGCUGCUCGCCUCUUGACUGGUACUCGUUAGAGGGAGCACAUAACUCCUACUCAGUCAUCCCUUCACUGGCUCCCCAUUCAUUUUAGAGUUAUUUUCAAGAUCCUCCUAUUUGUUUUCAAAUCUCUGAAUAAUCUCGCGCCACCUUACCUCUCUUAGCUCAUCCGCCCCUACACACCUUCCCGGCGCCUCAGGUCUGUGGACCAGACAUUAUUAGAAGUACCAAGAACUAAACUGAGGCUCAGAGGGGAUCGAGCCUUUUCUGUUGCUGGUCCCUCUCUCAGGAAUAACCUCCCACUGAACAUUCGCUGCCCAUCUUCAAAACCCUCCUCAAAACUCACUUGUAUUCUUUGGCAUUCGACUCAGCAUGACUUGGAUUUGUUCUUGGUUUUACUGUUUGGUGCUUUCGACCGCCUUUAUUACCGAUUUGUCUUUCUGUUUAUUGUGCAUGUUAAAUUGCUCCAUGUACAGCACUUUGUAUGCAGCGAUGGCUGUUUGAAAGUGCUCUAUAAAUACUUUUGACUUGACUUGACUCUGUUGAAAAAAAAAGACUGAAAAAUGAAACCAAAAUAUAAUUUUGUAAACAGGACCCAAAUCUGUCAGAUUUGUUUGGACUUUAUAAGGUCAAAAGAUUUUGGCUCAUUUUGUUUCCAGUCCAACUUCUGCUUCACAUGGACAGACCUACUUUGGCGUAAGUUUGUUUUUUUGCACCCAUCAAUGAAAGAAUCAAAGCCUGCUUCACAAAUGCAAAGCUGAGCCGUCAAGAUACAAGCUCGGACUGUCUAAUUAAAUACCAGGGUGAUGGAGGGCAAAUGGGGAGCAACAGAGAGAAGUAAUGAAAGAAAGAUUUAACAGCUGAGGCCAGAUGGCACAGGGACAGAAUUUAGAUGGAGUCCCGGGCAGACAGUGUUGAGAGCAGAGCAGAUGGGAGGAUGAGAACCAUCGUAAAACCGGAUUACCACCAGUGCUAUCGUCGUCAUGAUCUGAGGAAUCAUACCAGCUUUGAAGCUUAUUAUGUCAAAUGUGACAUUCGUGAAGGACCUUGUCUGGCUGAUGACAGGCACUUAGUGGCAGAAAGAUCAAACAAACCAAAAAAAACAUGCAGUGUUAUCCGUACUUUUGACAUCACAAGGAUUUUGUAACUCCCUGUGAUUUUUUUUCUUGUUCCUUUUUCACCUUCUUUUUUCAUCCUCCCUGCCAUGAGGUACCAUAUUGAGCAUUCAGUGACCACGAUUAAGGAGUGUGAUAGUGAUAAAACAACACUUCCGAAGACAGCUCAGAUAGGCUCGAGCACGCCCCCGACCUUUGUGAGGGUUAGCGGAUUCAAAAAUGGAUGGAUGGAUGGAUGGAUGGAUGUUUUACCUCUGUGCUGAGUUUUUGCAUACACUUCUCCACUGCUCCAUUCUACCAGUCACUAACGUCCACGUUCAUUCCUCACUCUGCUCAACUCAAUUACCGAAUCAGCAAUCAGCCACAAUUUAAGUCUCUCACGCUGACCCACUCUUUCCCUGAUUGUUCUUUCACUUUCAUUAAUGACACUCCAGUACUCGUCUUGGGAUUGAUUUCCUUUUGCCGACUCUACAAUCUUGCUGCUUGUAGACUGUAAAUGUCCCCAGUGUGGGACAAAUAAAGGACAUCUUACCUUAUCUUAUUUGCCUCUGACUUACCUUCCUUGUGGUUUUCCUGAUCAUCACCUCAGCCCUUUCUGCUUUGUGUUGGUCUAUCUCCACGGCUGCCUGGUAUUGUGCUGUUGCUCAACCCCCCCCCUCUUACCCCACCCCACCCCACCCCACCCCACCCUUUCCAGGUCAACAGAGACUCUGGUUCUGCACUUGUUUUUGAACUUUUUUAUUCGCCCGUCUGUCACAUCGGACAUUUAAGUUAAUUGUCAAUGAUAACUCAGGUCUGGUGUACUACAUUCGGGUUCUACUUGUGUCUGUAACAAUACAAUCUGCCCCAAAAUGUGCUGAGCACACCUUACCACCUCAGACCUGCUUCAAGUGAUUUGAGUCCUCAAGCAGCACAAAGAAUGAUGCUACCCCCUGCUGCCAAUGAAGCAAGCACGAUGCCAAGCACAAGUUAGCAACAGAAAUGCUGCUACGCGCUCUCCAACUUUGAACACCCCCAAUCAGAGGCUUAUGGAACGUUACGCAGGUGAUCCUGAGCCUUGUGGCCCCUUUCUGAGGAAAUGCUCUUUGUUGUUUUGCCCACAACUCCACAUAUUUUGCGGCUGAAGAAACCCAGUUUUUGCAACUAUACAUUUUUUGACGAGAAGUGCUCACCUCCGGGGAACCACUAAUUCCUCCAAUGACUUUCGCACCAAGUCCCGCCAUAGUGACCAAAAUUCAAUAGUUGUCUACAAUGCUCUCCUCUAUCGCCUGGCUGAUUACAUCAGGGUCACAAAUAUGUGAUCCCUUUUCAAGAUUUCUUCUUUUUUUUUUCCUCCUACAAAUGGGGUUUUGAAAUUUUCCUUACCCACCUGGGGAGUGUAGAUGAGGGGAUGUUGGUCAUAUUUGUCAACUGUAGGCUUGUGCAGGCCUUUGAAAUUUUUGUACGGUAAUGAAGGGCUCAAAGUCACCUGGAUUGGAUGAACCUGUGUCGCAUUCUCUUCCGUUCAUACUGAAUGCUCUAUAAAUACAGUUGAGUUGAGUUGAGUUGAAUGGGGUAAUCAAGCCAUUUAUUAGAGUAAAUGACACAUCCAGGCUCAGAGAAGGUGAAGGAGGCACGGUACCUUUACCACUUUUACACACUAUGGGUCUGAUGUCAGCAUCAUUGACGAGGGGUUCAACGCCAGCUGAGGUUGGGCAAGUUGGCAAAAAAAUUAAAUAUCCAAUCUUGUCAUAAUAGUAAAGGAAGUGCACUUUUAUAGUGCUUUGUCUACAUUAUAUGUUGUCUAAAAUGAUUUACCAAGCCACAAAUUCACUUUUUUGAAAACUUAGAGGCGCUAAUGGCACAACAGCAUCAACCUUAAGUUUGUUUAGGAUAACUUACUUUGACCUCCAGGAUGCCACGGCAGAAUCUACAGUGUUCUUCAAACCACCCACCCAACUAUUUUCUGAACUGCUUAUCCCUUUGCACCAGUUAUAAAUACAUCCUCUUGUCGUCAAGUUGCUGUCUAGCUCUGAGCUAAGCUGAAAAUUUUUGACUCCUGUCUGACGUAGUAAUGCCCUAACUCCCUUUGUAUGCAAGCAAUGAAGUAUCAAAGACAAGGGCAUUGAAAAACGGUCGAGCUGGGCUUCACUCACUGCUUACGAGCUGAAUCUAUUGCUUGAUAACUGGUAAUUCUGGGCUUUCCGGCUUGAAAGGUCGUUGGAUUUCACACGACGCAUGGGCUCUUCUGUCUCUUUGCUCUUAACUCAAUUAAAUUCUUUUGCAAUUUUGAUGCAGAUUGGUUUGUUACAUCAGCCAUGCAGCUAUGAUAUGUUCAAGCCACGUGUCACUUUCUAAUUGGGACUCUAACAUAGAGGACAUUGCGGUACUUCCUGUUUAUAUGAGAGCCACUCAGAGUGAAGGCUCUAUCUAUCGAAAUCUUUGUGCUGCCUGCCACCUACCUUGCUUCCUUUUUCUCAAUGAUCGCCAGAUCCCGCAGCAUUUCAAAAUGACUCAAUGUGCUUGGGUCGCGAUCAUUCUCUGUGCAGUUACAAGAAACAUGGUCGACUAUGAGUUUUCAAUGGUUAUUGUAAAAGUAAGUUGAAAACAAUUAUAAUUUUUGCAUAGCAAAUAGAAAUGCAUAUCUAACAUCAUAGUAGGUCCUUAUAGGUUGCAUUUUUUUAAAUGAUGGUGUUGAAAGUUACACCGUUGCUAUUUUUAGACACAGCAGGUUACCGUAUUAUUGUAAUACUGCCUAACCCAGGGGUCACCAAACUUUUUGAGAGUGAGAGCUACUUCAUGUGUCCUGAUUGUGUGAAGGGCUACCAAAUUGAUACGCGUCUGAAAUAACAUUUGUACAAAUUAAAUUUAAUAAUAUUAGAACAU